CAAGGCAGGAGGAUCACUUGAGCCCAGGAAUUCAAGAUCAGCCUGGGCAACAUAACAGGACCCUGUCUCUACAAAUUAAAAAAAAAAAAAAAUUUAUAUUAUGCUAAGUAAAAGCCAAUCAUAAAAGAUCAGGUAUUUUAUGAUUUCAUGUAUAUGAAAUGUCCAGAAUAAGCAAAUCUAUAGGCCACAAAGUAGAUUAGUGGUUACCUAGGUAGAAGCAGGGGAUAUGAGGGACUGCUAAUGAGUAUAGGGUUUCUUUUGGUGAUGAUGAAAUGUUCUAAGGUUAUAUGGUGGUGACAGCUGCACAACUCUGUGAAUAUACUAAAAAAUACUGAACUGUACACUUUAAAUGAAUAAAUCAUGAUAGUUGAAUUAUAAUCUCAAUAAAGCUAUUGGCCAGGUGCUGUGGCUCACACCAUUAAUCCAGCACUUUGGGAGGCUGAGGCACAAAGACUGCCUGAGGCCCAGUGUUCAAGACCAGCCUGGGCAAACAGAUUCUAUUUCUACCAAAAAUAAAAAAAAUUAGCCAGGUGAGGUGGCACAAGCCUGUAGUCCCAGCUACUUAGGAUGCUGAAGCGGGAGCAUCACUUGAGCCCAAGAAUUUAUGAUCACACCACUGCACUCCAGCCUGGGCAACACAGUGAGACUCUCUCUCAAAAAAUAAAACAUUAAAAAGCUGUAUCAUGUUAAAGUAUAACAGUGAAGGAACCAUUUCUUGUGAUUUAUUCUUUUUUUUUUUUGAGACGGAGUCUCGCUCUGUUGCCCAGGCUGGAGUGCAAUGGUGAGAUCUCAGCUCACUGCACCCUCUGCCUCCUGGGUUCAAGCAAUUCUCCUGCCUCAGCCUUCCCAGUAGCUGGGAUUACAGGCGCCCACCACCACACCCAGCUAAUUUUUGUAUUUUUAGUAGAGACGGGGUUUCACCAUGUUGGCCAGACUGGUCUUGAACUCCUGACCUCAGGUGACCUGUCCACCUCAGCCACCCAAGGGCUGGGAUUACAGCCAUGAGCCACCCAGCCCAGCUCAUCCUCACGAAUUUCAAACAGAUGCCUUGUAAAUGAACUUUUAAUGUGAACUCUAAAUGUAAACUUAAAGUGUACAAUUGUUGGUUGUUCUAUCAGGCCCCUUCCCUCCCCCGCCAAAAAGUCAAUACUUUCAGAAAGAUCUCUUAUCAUUUGUGUAUAAUUUAAACAAAUCUAAAGAUUCUUUCUACAGGUUAUUCCAUCUCCCACCCUGAAACAGAACAUGAGUUAGUAUUUACACCUGCAUGGAAAACAUUGUACACUGUAUUUUCAUUGAGAAAUAUGUAGUCCUUCUUUUUUUUUUUUUUUUUUUUUUGAGACGGAGGCUCACUCUGUCGCCCAGGCUGGAGUGCAGUGGCACCAUCUCAGCUCACUGCAAGCUCUGCCUCCCGGGUUCACGCCAUUCUCCUGCCUCGGCCUCCUGAGUAGUUGGGACUACAGGUGGCUGCCGCCACGCCCGGCUAAUUUUUUGUAUUUUUAGUAGAGAUGGGGUUUCACCGUGUUAGCCAGGAUGGUCUCGAUCUCCUGACCUCAUGAUCCGCCCACCUUAGCCUCCUAAAGUGCUGGGAUUACAGGCGUGAGCCACCAUGCCCGGCCAAGAAAUAUGUGGUCCUUUUACUUUCCCAGUGAAAUGGUUCAGUGAUAAGUCUGUGGGGGGAAAAAAGGCUCAGUGUGAGGUAAGUAUCAAUCAGCACCUUCUCACUUCCUUCAUCUCUUUUUCUUGAGACAGUCUCACUCUGUUGCCCAGGCUGGAACGCGGUGGGGCAAUCACGGCUCACUGCAGCCUCUACCUCCCCAGCUCAAGCAAUCCUCCCACCUCAGCCUUCUGUGUAGCUGGGACCACAGGCACAUGCCACCAUGUCCCGCUAAUUAAAUUUUUUUUUUUUUGGUAGAGAUGGGGUUUUGCCAUGUUGCCCAGGUUGGCCUCGAACUCCUGAGUUCAAGUGUUCCUCUCGCCUCAGCCUUCUGAGUAGCGGGACAGGCAUGCACGCCUAGCUAAUUUUUUAAUUUCUCGUGCAGAUGGGGCUGUUCUGAACUGGCCUCAAGCGAUCUUCUUGCCUCAGCUUCUCAAAGUGCUCGGAUUACAGGCAAAAAAAAGCCACCACACCCGUCCUGAUUUUCAGAAUAUUAAGUAGCUCAGUUUCAGUAUUCCAGAGUUGGUUUUUACACAGGUAGGACGCUAGAUUAUUCCUAUGUAACAUGUAGAUAAGGCAUUGAUAAAAUAUAUCAUAUGUGGCCUGGCAGGGUGGCUCACGCCUGUAAUCCCAGGACUUUGGGAGGCCAUGGCAGGCGCAUCAUCUGAGACCAGCCUGGCCAAUGUGGCAAAACCCUGUCUCUACUAAAAAUAAAAAUAGAAAAACUUAGCCAGGUAUGGUGGCGGGCGUCUGUAAUCCCAGGUACUCGGGAGACUGGGGCAGGCAGAACUGCUUGAACCCAGGAGGGAGAGGUUGCAGUGAGCCGAGACUGGGCCACUGCACUCCAGCCUGGGUGACAGAGUGCGGCUCCGUCUCAAAAAAGUAUCAUGCUAUCUCAUAUCAAGUAUGUGUAAGUGAUGUGCCAAACAAAUUGCUACUGGCAGGCUGAGGUAUGCGGACCACUGGAGCCCAGGCUGCAGUGAUCAUCAUGCCUGUGAACAACCACCGCACUCCAGCUUGGGCAACAAAGCAAGACCCUUUCUCUAAUGGAGUGUAGGGGAGGAGGAAGAAGAGGAGGAAGGGAAUUCAAGAACCCAAAGUUACCGGGUGCAGUGGCUUACGCCUUUAAAAUCCCAGCACUUUGGGAGGCCAAAGCGGACAGAUUGCUUGAGCCCAGGAGUUCAAGACCAGCCUGGGCAACACGGAGAAACCCAUCUCUACAAAAAAUAGAAAAAUCAACCAGGCAUGGUGGUGUGCGCUUGUGGUCCCAGCUACUUGCUUUUUCUUUUCACUGGGCAAAUGAAUGUUGAGAAGAAAAACUAAGGAAAUACUAUAUAUAAGGAAUAAUUGCUCAUGUUCAACUCACCGUUUCCUCAAUUUAAAAAAAGUGUGUGUGUGUGUGUGUGUGUGUGUGUGUGUGUGUAAACGGGGGGCUCUCACUAUGUUACUCAGGAUGGUCUCAAACUUCUGGGCUGAAGCGAUCCUCCCGCCUCAGCCUCCCGAAGUGCUAGGAUUACAGGCCUGAGCUACCGUGACCGGUCCCCGUUUCCUCAACAGAGGUUAAAAAGCUCGUGCUCUGGCCGGGCACGGUGGUUCACGCCUGUAAUCCCAAAACUUCGGGAGGCCAAGGCGGGCGGAUCACCUGAGGUCAGGAGUUCGAGAUAAGCCUGGCCAACAUGGUGAAACCCCGUCUCUAACUAAAAAAGAUACAAACAUUAGCCAGGCGUAGUGGUGGGAACCUGUAAUCCCAGCUACUCGGGAGGCUGAGACAGAAGAAUCGCUUGAACCCAGGAGGCAGAGGUUGCAGCGAGUGGAGAUCGCGCCACUGCACUCCAGCAUGAGCAACAGAGUGAGACUCAGUCUCAAAAAACAAACAAACAAACAAACAAAAAACAAACACGUGCAGUCUCAAAAAACAAACAAACAAAAAACAAACACGUGCUCUGGAAGAGGCAACCGAAUGCGCAUUAGAAUCCCCCUAGCAUUUAGUCACGCGUUCUUAUUUCAUUUUUUAAAACAGCGAUAAUACCAACCAAGUAGAAUUACCAAGAGGAUGAAAUUGGGUAAUGUUUGUAAAGCAUUCCACACAAUCCCUAGCAUAUUAGGAGUAGCCUGGGAGAGAUGAGCAUUCUCUAUGUAACACAGAAGGCCCGAAUCCUCUGGAGAGUUAAGGCCUCUCAAUUAGCUGUCAGGGGACCAGCAGGCCACGCCACAUAUUUUCCUUAUUUGGCAAGUCUUCCAUUUUCAGUCUUUUCAUCCACAAAACCGAGAUGGAUGAAAAAUGCCUACGAAUCCGCCGUUCUUACGUCCCAGGCUUGUCGUGAGGAUCAAUGGGACAAGCGGCGUGAACCGACCAGGGCCCAUCAAGUCCGAGAAGCCCCGGGGGGCAUAUGGAGGGACGCCGGCCCCCUUAACGGGCCCAAGGCCGGGACUGCGGCCGCCCCC
RNAcentral lists this long non-coding RNA (4099 nucleotides) under Homo sapiens (human). RNAcentral describes it as "HSALNT0022810". The record is from RNAcentral. Lineage: Eukaryota; Metazoa; Chordata; Mammalia; Primates; Hominidae.